RNAcentral lists this ribosomal RNA (500 nucleotides) under Blepharidopterus diaphanus. RNAcentral describes it as "partial large subunit ribosomal RNA". It matches the Rfam family "Eukaryotic large subunit ribosomal RNA", at positions 755 to 1243 of the family's 3401-position model. Lineage: Eukaryota; Metazoa; Arthropoda; Insecta; Hemiptera; Miridae. The record is from RNAcentral.
GCACUCCCGGGGCGUCUCUAUCUCAUUGCGAGAGGAGGCGCACCUAUAGCGUACACGCUGAUACCCGAAAGAUGGUGAACUAUGCCUGGCCAGGACGAAGCCAGGGGAAACCCUGGUGGAGGUCCGCAGCGAUUCUGACGUGCAAAUCGAUCGUCGGAGCUGGGUUUAGGGGCGAAAGACCAAUCGAACCAUCUAGUAGCUGGUUCCCUCUGAAGUUUCCCUCAGGAUAGCUUGCGCUCGGGCUGAACGAGUCUCAUCCGGUAGAGCGAAUGAUUAGAGGCCUUGGGGUCGAAACGACCUCAACCUAUUCUCAAACUCCAAAUAGAUGAGAACCCUGGCUUUCUUGAACUAUGAAGCCAAGGGGUUUCGGAUCAGAGUGCCAAGUGGGCCAAUUUUGGUAAGCAGAACUGGCGCUGUGGGAUGAACCAAACGCGGAGUUAAGGCGCCUCAAUCGACGCUCAUGUGAUACCAUGAAAGGCGUUGGUUGCUUAAGACAGCAG